CUUGGUUGAUGGAACACAUGUAACAUGUCACAAAAAGCUUUCAAAACAGCCCUGUGUUUGUCCACAUAAGUCUAGUUAUCCAUUGAUUUUGCCUUACACAUCAAGAUUAAUACAUUAACUAAAACUAUCAAUCAUGGUCCCACACGAGUAUCAAGCUGUAAUUGCAUGCAUAUUUGGAAUUUAAAAAUUUAGUUUUGUUUGUUUGGCCCGCCAUAUGCGGGCUCUAAUUUGCAUAAUCUGCAUUCCUUGUGGGCUUAAGACCGCACCCAUACCAUGUUUUUGAUUGUCCAAGUUAUUCAAGCGUAUCUCUAUGUAAAUGAAGCGCUUUCUCAGCCUCCCCAUUCAGGUGAACUCACACACACACACACACACCGAGUACGUAUAUCCUGCAUCCUUGCUCAAUUCUGACUUGACUUGGUGCUUUUCUGAACUGACUAGAUCUAUACUUGCCUUGUUCUAAGUUAUGUCUACUUCAAGUGACAAUGUUCAAACUGAAAUUUUUGACAAAUUCAAAGAUUAUUUCGACGCUAAGUUCAGCGCGAUUUCCAAGCCAGUAGAUGACUCCACUGCUUUGGAAGAACUGAAACUCAAGUUGGAGGCAAAGGAUCUUUCUAGACCGGGCAACAUCGCUUCGUUUGAGUUUUUUUUCGACAGUUGGAGAUUCUACUAUACAAAAUUCAAACCGCUCUAACAACCGAAAAUAACACCGAAGCAGUUUUACAAGCUGAGUCAAGAAGGUCCUAGACCUCCUCGCCGACAGAAAGCAAAAAAUUCGAAUUGCCGACUCCAAGCAAGGCUGGCUGGGGAACUAUUUCCCACCUGGACAAGAGAAACGCCGAUAAGUUGUCCGCCGAGCAACACAAGAAGGUUUUGGCCGCCAAGGAAGCCGCCCUGUCCUUGCUCUAUGCCCUGAAAGGACAUCGAGACGCGUAAGCGUCGACGAAAUGAAUCUCCGCAACUCCAGCAGAGUGGUUCGAAUUCGAAGCCAGCAUUCGGACAUCCUGAUCGUUAUCUUUUUCGAGGCAUGUCGUCUUUUGAGUCGUGCUUCUCCUGCGGAAUGUCGGGCCAUUGGUCCAGAAAUUGCCCCUAUUCCUUUGGAUCCAACACCUACUAGCGCUUCCGGACCCAGGCAAGAUCCACUCCAGCCGUCCCUUUCAGGGAGGAACAGACCACCUUUCUCGUCAUGGCACGCCACAUCUUACCAGAUGCAGAGAGCAUUGCCUCAAGCAAGCCAGCAUGGAACCGCCUCGACAGGGCCGUUUGAUACCGCCAGUACUAGCAACACCUCAACAUUGCCCAAGGCACAGAAGAGACAACGUUUGCAAGACGUUUGAUGACGUUCUUAAGUUUCCGAUGGCAUUCCAUGGACAGAUGUCGUUACGGAGUACGUGACGGGUUACACUGGCUUUUGACUCCGGUUACGAGAAAAGAAUCAAGAAAGCAGAAAGGUCGGCCGCCUCCUAAGAAGGGAUCCCAGUGUCAGCAGAUCAUAUUCAACCAAAACAGAUGUGGCCACUAAAUUAGCAACAGUUUUUUCGUCCCACUGGGGGUCCCUUAUCACGACAACCGCAUCUCCUUCCAAUGCGGUACCCAAGGUCACUUUGCAAACAACAUUUCAAUCGCUUCGAGCACCACAAACAGGACUACAAGCAUCCACACACCCAAAAAGCCGUGGAGACUGGGAAGCACAAGGUAGAUUGAAACAAUGUAUUUCCUUUUAGAUAAAUGUUUUGAAGGCCAGCCUUUUUUAUGGAUGUUUUGGAUUCAGGAUAUAAGAUCCCGAGCAACUGAGCAAUAUAUCCAUCUUAUUUUAGAAAAUACUUUUGAAAAUGCUCUCCCUAGAGUUUGUACACAACCGUUUGAAUCUUGCAUUCUUUCCGCGAACAAAAAAAAGACUGUGUUUGGGGUAUUGCAACAACAAGUUUGCAAUUUGUUCAAAAGACCAAAUUCAUGUACAUUUCAAGUUGUAAUUAGGAACAAUUUUUACUGUAGUUUCGAUCUUAGAUUAAAAGUGCUGAUUUACCCAUCAAAUGAACAGCUGUAAAAAAAAAAA
Patiria miniata (bat star) is the source of this 2053-nucleotide long non-coding RNA. RefSeq lists it as uncharacterized. The transcript has 3 exons. The record is from RefSeq and is a predicted model, not a curated record. NCBI's taxonomy places the organism in Eukaryota, Metazoa, Echinodermata, Asteroidea, Valvatida, Asterinidae.